UUGGGGUCCUGGUGCUCGGGGUCCUGGUGCUCGGGUCCUGGUGUUCAGGUUAUGCAGAUGCUUCAGUGGAUUUUCUGAGCUCCACAUUCAGACAGUGAAAAUCACCUGCGUGUAGUUGACAAUUCUGAGGCUUUUCCUGAGUAGAAGAGUCUGAGACAGGUGUCUAGACCACCGUCUCUAUUUAUAUUGUUCCCUGAUUUCCCCCAGAAUUUAGGUGGCUGUCACGCUGGCAGUUCAGUCUGAAACAGAGCACGGUUUGCAUGGAAAAUUUCUACUGUGAAAGUAGAACACCGCAGUACCGAACCCGAGACUACUUGUAGGAGCUGGUCUGAGUUCA
Molecule: long non-coding RNA, 337 nt
Organism: Ictalurus punctatus (channel catfish)
Lineage: Eukaryota; Metazoa; Chordata; Actinopteri; Siluriformes; Ictaluridae
Source: Ensembl